AUUGAACGCUGGCGGCAUGCCUAACACAUGCAAGUCGAACGGGGGUAGCGAUACCCUAGUGGCGGACGGGUGAGGAAUGCGUAGGAAUCUACCCACGAGAGGGGGACAACCUGGGGAAACUCAGGCUAAUACCGCAUACGCUCGUAAGAGGAAAGCGGGGGAUCUUCGGACCUCGCGCUGGUGGAAGAGCCUACGUCCGAUUAGCUGGUUGGUGAGGUAAAGGCUCACCAAGGCGACGAUCGGUAGCGGGUCUGAGAGGACGGCCCGCCACACUGGGACUGAGACACGGCCCAGACUCCUACGGGAGGCAGCAGUGGGGAAUAUUGGACAAUGGGCGCAAGCCUGAUCCAGCAAUGCCGCGUGGGUGAAGACGGGCCUCGGUU
RNAcentral lists this ribosomal RNA (383 nucleotides) under uncultured bacterium. RNAcentral describes it as "bacterial SSU rRNA". It matches the Rfam family "Bacterial small subunit ribosomal RNA", at positions 29 to 423 of the family's 1533-position model. The record is from RNAcentral.